CUCUUCUUCUUCUCUUCCUCUUCUUCUUCUUCUCCUCUUCGAAUGCCCCACAUCUCUCCUCUGUUUCCACCUACAGGAAAUAGAGGUGCUGCAGCCCUAGCUGCUGCCACCUCUCGCUCCUCUCCCUCUUCCCUCCCUUUUCCCUCUUCUUCUCCUUCUCUUCUUCUCCUCUUCGCUUUUCCUCCCCAACGUCACACACCUCCUCGCUGCAGCCUUGCCGCAGGUAUCCUCCUAUCUUCUUCUUCUUCUUCUUCUUCUCCUCCUUCCUCUCU
This 272-nucleotide long non-coding RNA is filed under the name Musa acuminata (dwarf banana). RNAcentral's name for it is "long non-coding RNA (MACU_LNC010821)". Lineage: Eukaryota; Viridiplantae; Streptophyta; Magnoliopsida; Zingiberales; Musaceae. The record is from RNAcentral.